This 768-nucleotide ribosomal RNA is filed under the name uncultured Actinomycetes bacterium. RNAcentral's name for it is "bacterial SSU rRNA". It matches the Rfam family "Bacterial small subunit ribosomal RNA", at positions 193 to 972 of the family's 1533-position model. The record is from RNAcentral. Lineage: Bacteria; Bacillati; Actinomycetota; Actinomycetes.
AUCCGCGGAUUUGGAAAGUUUUUCGGUUGAAGAUGAUCUCGCGGCCUAUCAGCUUGUUGGUGAGGUAAUGGCUCACCAAGGCGACGACGGGUAGCCGGCCUGAGAGGGCGACCGGCCACACUGGGACUGAGACACGGCCCAGACUCCUACGGGAGGCAGCAGUGGGGAAUAUUGGGCAAUGGAGGAAACUCUGACCCAGCGACGCCGCGUGCGGGAUGAAGGCCUUCGGGUUGUAAACCGCUUUCAGCAGGGAAGAAGCGAAAGUGACGGUACCUGCAGAAGAAGCACCGGCUAACUAUGUGCCAGCAGCCGCGGUAAUACAUAGGGAGCAAGCGUUGUCCGGAAUUAUUGGGCGUAAAGAGCUCGUAGGUGGUUCGUCACGUCGGAUGUGAAACUCUGGGGCUUAACCCCAGACCUGCAUUCGAUACGGGCGAGCUUGAGUAUGGUAGGGGAGUCUGGAAUUCCUGGUGUAGCGGUGGAAUGCGCAGAUAUCAGGAGGAACACCAAUGGCGAAGGCAGGACUCUGGGCCAUUACUGACACUGAGGAGCGAAAGCGUGGGGAGCGAACAGGAUUAGAUACCCUGGUAGUCCACGCCGUAAACGGUGGGCACUAGUUGUGGGGACCUUCCACGGUCUCUGCGACGCAGCUAACGCAUUAAGUGCCCCGCCUGGGGAGUACGAUCGCAAGAUUAAAACUCAAAGGAAUUGACGGGGCCCCGCACAAGCAGCGGAGCAUGCGGCUUAAUUCGACGCAACGCGAAGAACCUU